UACGUAGGGACCAAGCGUUGUUCGGAUUUACUGGGCGUAAAGGGCGCGUAGGCGGCAAUUCAAGUCAUCUGUGAAAUCUCCGGGCUUAACCCGGAACGGUCAGAUGAUACUGCUUUGCUAGAGUGCGGAGGGGGCAAUCGGAAUUCUCGGUGUAGCGGGGAAAUGCGUAGGUAUCGAGAGGAACACCAGAGGUGAAGACGGGUUGCUGGGCCGACACUGACGCUUAUAGCGCGAAAGCCAGGGGAGCAAACGGG
This 254-nucleotide ribosomal RNA is filed under the name uncultured bacterium. RNAcentral's name for it is "partial 16S ribosomal RNA". It matches the Rfam family "Bacterial small subunit ribosomal RNA", at positions 524 to 776 of the family's 1533-position model. The record is from RNAcentral.